UCUUCUCAAUUCUCCCUUUUGGGUGGGAAUGUCUGUCUUUUGCCUGUCCCGCCAUUGUGAUCCAGAAGCACAGAACAUGUCUGGUCUCACAGGUUCGAAGCUAGAGAGGAAUUCUGCUUUGGGAUGAAUCAUACCUCCAGCCUCACCCAGCCCUGAUUUAGAUGACGUUUAGGGAGACUUCUGACUUGGUGAUGGACGGGUUGACUCUGGGGCUGUUGAAUGGUGUAUUUUUUAAAGAUUUUAUUUAUUUUUUAUUUGUCAGAGAGAGAGAGAGAGCACAAGCAGGGGGAGCAGCAGGCAGAGGGAGAAGCAAACUCCCCGCUGAGCAGGAAGCCUGAUGCUGGACUUGAUCCCCGGACCCUGGGAUCAUGACCUGAGCCGAAGGCAGACGCCCAACAACUGAGCCACCCAGGCAUUGCAGAGUGAAUGUAUUUUGCACGGGAGAACGAUGUGAAUUUGGGGAGCAAGAUGGCAGAAUGUUAUGAACUGAAUUGUGUCCCCCUAAAUUGAAGACUUAACUAACCAUGGGACUGUAUUUGAGAUGGGGCCUUGAAGGAGUAAAGAUUAAAUGGGGUCACAAGGGUGGGCCUUCUCUAACAGUACUGGUAUCUUUGUUUUUUGGUUUUUUUUAAAGAGUAUUUAUUUAUUUAUUUAUUUGACAGAGACACAGCAAUAGAGAGGGAACACAAGCAAACGGAGUGGGAGAGGGAGAAGCAGGCUUUCCGCUGAGCAGGGAGCUGGAUGUGGGGUCGGAUCCCAGAAUCCUGGGAUCAUGACUUGAGCCGAAGGCAGAUGCCUAACAACUGAACCACCUGGAUGCCCCUCCUGGUGCCUUUAUAAGAAAGGACAACAGAUUUCUCCCUCUCUCUCCUUGGGUGCACACAGGGAAGGCUACAUGAGGGCCCAGCAAGAAUGUGUGUUUGCAAGCUGAGGAGACAGGUCUCACUGGAAGCCACAUCUGCCAGCACCUUAACUUGGGCCUUUCAGCCUCUAGAACUAUGACAGAAUACAUUCCUGUUGAUUAAGCCACCCAGUCUAUGGUCUCUUGCCAUGGUGGGCUGAGCAGACGAAUACAAUUCCUCACAACUUUGGUGAGGGAGGAGCCAGGCGCACUUGGAUUUCAAGUUCCACUUUCAUGGAUUGCCUCACUCGGCCAAUACAGAAGUUCUGCUAUGGGUCAGACAUGGUGCAGGCACUGGCUUCAAUGCCCACAGGAGAGACGCAUGGCUUCGGCUCACACUCCGUUGGCCGCCCUUGAUGACGAAGGAGGUGGAAGUGUAGUCCAGCUCGGUGCCCAGGAAGAGGAGGACAUGAGUUUGGUGACCAGUUACCCAGGCCUGCUACAGUAGGUCAGGGCUAAGCUCAGUCAAGGGGGCAGGGUGCACCCAGGCUCUGCUGGAAUUUCCCACGCGGACCAGCUCCAGUUUUCUCAUGAAGACACACUGAGGUGUUUCCACAUCCGUGCCCUCUUCUAGACUGUACACCCUUUGAGGGUAAGGCCUGGGCCUGGCUUCUCUCCCUAGCCUCACACCUGGCCCGGAGAGGGCCCAGUGCCAGCGCCCAGCAAACAAGCCUGUGGAGAGACAGCACGUCCUCCUGAGUCAUCAGAUUUCACGGGGCUGAGCCGAAGCCCUGCUUGUCAGCAUGUUGCUCACUGAUGGGAAAAGCUUUCCUGUGGUCUAGACACUCCUGACUCCAGUCUAAAGAGACCUUCUAAAGAAGGUCAGUGUGUCCAGUGGAAGGAGAUGGGGCUUUCCCUCCCUGAGCUCACAGACCUACCUGCUGGGAAGACAGCUUCACGGGUUCUAUUUUUUCCUGGAUGUUCCCACCUGCUGACUUCCCCAGAUGUGACAGGAUACACAGAGAGCUGUGUCCAGCAGGGAUCCUGGGCCCCAAGCAGUCUGGCCCUGGGCUCCCACACUGCUGGGCUCUGCACUG
Molecule: long non-coding RNA, 1938 nt
Organism: Mustela lutreola (European mink)
Lineage: Eukaryota; Metazoa; Chordata; Mammalia; Carnivora; Mustelidae
Exons: 3
Source: RefSeq, a predicted model, not a curated record